RNAcentral lists this non-coding RNA (21 nucleotides) under Caenorhabditis elegans. Lineage: Eukaryota; Metazoa; Nematoda; Chromadorea; Rhabditida; Rhabditidae. The record is from RNAcentral.
UUAUCCAGAUUUCAUAUUUCC